UUAAGCGACUAAGCGUACACGGUGGAUGCCCUGGCAGUCAGAGGCGAUGAAGGGCGUGCUAAUCUGCGAUAAGCGCCGGUAAGGUGAUAUGAACCGUUAUAACCGGCGAUACCCGAAUGGGGAAACCCAGUGUGACUCGUCACACUAUCAUUAACUGAAUCCAUAGGUUAAUGAGGCGAACCGGGGGAACUGAAACAUCUAAGUACCCCGAGGAAAAGAAAUCAACCGGAGAUUCCCCCAGUAGCGGCGAGCGAACGGGGAGGAGCCCAGAGCCUGAAUCAGCAUGUGUGUUAGUGGAAGCGUCUGGAAAGGCGCGCGAUACAGGGUGACAGCCCCGUACACAAAAGCGCAUGUGCUGUGAGCUCGAUGAGUAGGGCGGGACACGUGGUAUCCUGUCUGAAUAUGGGGGGACCAUCCUCCAAGGCUAAAUACUCCUGACUGACCGAUAGUGAACCAGUACCGUGAGGGAAAGGCGAAAGAACCCCGGCGAGGGGAGUGAAAAAGAACCUGAAACCGUGUACGUACAAGCAGUGGGGAGCACCCUUUUGGGUGUGACUGCGUACCUUUUGUAUAAUGGGUCAGCGACUUAUAUUCUGUAGCAAGGUUAACCGUAUAGGGGAGCCGUAGGGAAACCGAGUCUUAACCGGGCGUUAAGUUGCAGGGUAUAGACCCGAAACCCGGUGAUCUAGCCAUGGGCAGGUGAAGGUUGGGUAACACUAACUGGAGGACCGAACCGACUAAUGUUGAAAAAUUAGCGGGAUGACCUGUGGCUGGGGGGUGAAAGGCCAAUCAAACCGGGAGAUAGCUGGUUCUCCCCGAAAGCUAUUUAGGUAGCGCCUCGUGAAUUCAUCUCCGGGGGUAGAGCACUGUUUCGGCUAGGGGGCCAUCCCGGCUUACCAACCCGAUGCAAACUGCGAAUACCGGAGAAUGUUAUCACGGGAGACACACGGCGGGUGCUAACGUCCGUCGUGAAGAGGGAAACAACCCAGACCGCCAGCUAAGGUCCCAAAGUCAUGGUUAAGUGGGAAACGAUGUGGGAAGGCCCAGACAGCCAGGAUGUUGGCUUAGAAGCAGCCAUCAUUUAAAGAAAGCGUAAUAGCUCACUGGUCGAGUCGGCCUGCGCGGAAGAUGUAACGGGGCUAAACCAUGCACCGAAGCUGCGGCAGCGACACUAUGUGUUGUUGGGUAGGGGAGCGUUCUGUAAGCCUGUGAAGGUGUGCUGUGAGGCAUGCUGGAGGUAUCAGAAGUGCGAAUGCUGACAUAAGUAACGAUAAAGCGGGUGAAAAGCCCGCUCGCCGGAAGACCAAGGGUUCCUGUCCAACGUUAAUCGGGGCAGGGUGAGUCGACCCCUAAGGCGAGGCCGAAAGGCGUAGUCGAUGGGAAACGGGUUAAUAUUCCCGUACUUGGUGUUACUGCGAAGGGGGGACGGAGAAGGCUAUGUUGGCCGGGCGACGGUUGUCCCGGUUUAAGCGUGUAGGCUGGUUUUCCAGGCAAAUCCGGAAAAUCAAGGCUGAGGCGUGAUGACGAGGCACUACGGUGCUGAAGCAACAAAUGCCCUGCUUCCAGGAAAAGCCUCUAAGCAUCAGGUAACAUCAAAUCGUACCCCAAACCGACACAGGUGGUCAGGUAGAGAAUACCAAGGCGCUUGAGAGAACUCGGGUGAAGGAACUAGGCAAAAUGGUGCCGUAACUUCGGGAGAAGGCACGCUGACACGUAGGUGAAGUGAUUUACUCAUGGAGCUGAAGUCAGUCGAAGAUACCAGCUGGCUGCAACUGUUUAUUAAAAACACAGCACUGUGCAAACACGAAAGUGGACGUAUACGGUGUGACGCCUGCCCGGUGCCGGAAGGUUAAUUGAUGGGGUCAGCGCAAGCGAAGCUCCUGAUCGAAGCCCCGGUAAACGGCGGCCGUAACUAUAACGGUCCUAAGGUAGCGAAAUUCCUUGUCGGGUAAGUUCCGACCUGCACGAAUGGCGUAAUGAUGGCCAGGCUGUCUCCACCCGAGACUCAGUGAAAUUGAACUCGCUGUGAAGAUGCAGUGUACCCGCGGCAAGACGGAAAGACCCCGUGAACCUUUACUAUAGCUUGACACUGAACAUUGAGCCUUGAUGUGUAGGAUAGGUGGGAGGCUUUGAAGUGUGGACGCCAGUCUGCAUGGAGCCGACCUUGAAAUACCACCCUUUAAUGUUUGAUGUUCUAACGUGGACCCGUGAUCCGGGUUGCGGACAGUGUCUGGUGGGUAGUUUGACUGGGGCGGUCUCCUCCUAAAGAGUAACGGAGGAGCACGAAGGUUGGCUAAUCCUGGUCGGACAUCAGGAGGUUAGUGCAAUGGCAUAAGCCAGCUUGACUGCGAGCGUGACGGCGCGAGCAGGUGCGAAAGCAGGUCAUAGUGAUCCGGUGGUUCUGAAUGGAAGGGCCAUCGCUCAACGGAUAAAAGGUACUCCGGGGAUAACAGGCUGAUACCGCCCAAGAGUUCAUAUCGACGGCGGUGUUUGGCACCUCGAUGUCGGCUCAUCACAUCCUGGGGCUGAAGUAGGUCCCAAGGGUAUGGCUGUUCGCCAUUUAAAGUGGUACGCGAGCUGGGUUUAGAACGUCGUGAGACAGUUCGGUCCCUAUCUGCCGUGGGCGCUGGAGAACUGAGGGGGGCUGCUCCUAGUACGAGAGGACCGGAGUGGACGCAUCACUGGUGUUCGGGUUGUCAUGCCAAUGGCACUGCCCGGUAGCUAAAUGCGGAAGAGAUAAGUGCUGAAAGCAUCUAAGCACGAAACUUGCCCCGAGAUGAGUUCUCCCUGAGACUUUAAGUCUCCUGAAGGAACGUUGAAGACGACGACGUUGAUAGGCCGGGUGUGUAAGCGCAGCGAUGCGUUGAGCUAACCGGUACUAAUGAACCGUGAGGCUUAACCUU
RNAcentral lists this ribosomal RNA (2903 nucleotides) under Salmonella enterica subsp. enterica. RNAcentral describes it as "23S ribosomal RNA". It matches the Rfam family "Bacterial large subunit ribosomal RNA". The record is from RNAcentral. Lineage: Bacteria; Pseudomonadati; Pseudomonadota; Gammaproteobacteria; Enterobacterales; Enterobacteriaceae.